GUGGCAGACGGGUGAGUAUAAUGUGGGAAUCUGCCUUUUGGUUUGGAAUAACACGAGGAAACUUGUGCUAAUACCGGAUAAGCCUUCACAGGGAAAGUUUUAAUGCCAAAAGAUGAGCCCGCACUUGAUUAGCUAGUUGGUAAGGUAAUGGCUUACCAAGGCAACGAUCAAUAGCUGUUCUUAGAGGAAGACCAGCCACAUUGGGACUGAGACACGGCCCAAACUCCUACGGGAGGCAGCAGUGGGGAAUCUUGCACAAUGGGGGCAACCCUGAUGCAGCGAUGCCGCGUGAGUGAAGAAGGCCUUUGGGUUGUAAAACUCUUUCGUCGGGGAAGAAAAUGACUGUACCCGAAUAAGAAGGUCCGGCUAACUUCGUGCCAGCAGCCGCGGUAAUACGAAGGGACCUAGCGUAGUUCGGAAUUACUGGGCUUAAAGAGUUCGUAGGUGGUUAAAAAAGUUGAUGGUGAAAUCCCAAGGCUCAACCUUGGAACUGCCAUCAAAACUUUUUAGCUAGAGUAUG
RNAcentral lists this ribosomal RNA (520 nucleotides) under uncultured Pelagibacterales bacterium. RNAcentral describes it as "bacterial SSU rRNA". It matches the Rfam family "Bacterial small subunit ribosomal RNA", at positions 95 to 650 of the family's 1533-position model. The record is from RNAcentral. Lineage: Bacteria; Pseudomonadati; Pseudomonadota; Alphaproteobacteria; Candidatus Pelagibacterales.